RNAcentral lists this ribosomal RNA (502 nucleotides) under uncultured bacterium. RNAcentral's name for it is "bacterial SSU rRNA". It matches the Rfam family "Bacterial small subunit ribosomal RNA", at positions 8 to 509 of the family's 1533-position model. The record is from RNAcentral.
AGAGUUUGAUCCUGGCUCAGGAUGAACGCUGGCGGCGUGCUUAACACAUUCAAGUCGAACGGGUUCUUACGACGGAACGACUCGGUGGGAAGAUGUAAGAACUAGUGGCGGACGGGUGAGUAACGCGUGAGCAACCUGCCUGACAAAGAGGGAUAACACAUGGAAACGUGUGCUAAUACCACAUGAAGCUUAAGGAGCGCAUGCUUCAUAAGUUAAAGGGCAACCGAUGUCAGAUGGGCUCGCGUAUGAUUAGGCAGUUGGUGAGGUAACGGCUCACAAACCGACGAUCAUUAGCCGAACUGAGAGGUUGAACGGCCACAUUUGGAACUGAGAAACGGUCCAGACUCCUACGGGAGGCAGCAGUGGGGAAUAUUGGGCAAUGGGCGAAAGCCUGACCCAGCGACGCCGCGUGAGGGAAGAAGGUCUUCGGAUUGUAAACUUCUUUUACCAGGGACGAAGGAUGUGACGGUACCUGGAGAAAAGCCACGGCUAACUACGUGCC